CCCUCAGAUGUCUGCUGAGCACCCAGGGGCCAGGGGUGGUUGACCAAGUGACCAGAUGAGAGGAAGUUGGGUUUCUGCAUUUGUUCCAUGCUGCUUUCAGGUGUGAGACUCAAGGGAGCUUGGUCGAACAAACACAGGUGUCCCUGCUCAUCGGAAGAGACAAGAGUGUGUCACUGUGUGUGCCUCAGGCUGAGUCCCUCACACCCCGGAGGCUCAGGGGAUACGUGGCCUUCCCUGGAGCAUGGUCAACCCACCACAGGCUGCAAUUAAAGAAAACUAAGUCUCCCUCUCCCAGGAGCCAUCAACUGUCAAUAACUCAGCACUGGGAUUUUGUCUGUCUGGCAAAUACAUUUAACAUGGAUACUUGAAGAAUUCGUUUACGAACAUCUUAUUAU
Peromyscus maniculatus bairdii (prairie deer mouse) is the source of this 395-nucleotide non-coding RNA. The record is from RefSeq and is a predicted model, not a curated record. Lineage: Eukaryota; Metazoa; Chordata; Mammalia; Rodentia; Cricetidae.